CCUACGGGAGGCAGCAGUGAGGAAUAUUGGUCAAUGGGCUUACGCCUGAACCAGCCAAGUCGCGUGAGGGAAGACUGCUCUAUGGGUUGUAAACCUCUUUUGUCAGGGAGCAACGCCGGCUACGUGUAGCCGGACUGAGAGUACCUGAAGAAAAAGCAUCGGCUACCUCCGUGCAAGCAGCCGGGGUAAUACGGAGGAUGCGCUCGUUAUCCGGAUUUAUUGGGUUUAAGGGGUGCGUGGGCGGCAUGCCAAGUCAGCGGUAAAAUCCCGGGGUUCAACCUCGCUCUGCCGUUGAAACUGGCGUGCUUGAGAGUGCUAGAAGUAUGCGGAAUGCGUGGUGUAGCGGUGAAAUGCAUAGAUAUCACGCAGAACUCCGAUUGCGAAGGCAGCAUACCGGCGCCCAACUGACGCUGAAGCACGAAAGCGUGGGUAUCGAACAGGAUUAGAUACCCCGGUAGUC
Molecule: ribosomal RNA, 460 nt
Filed under: uncultured bacterium
Lineage: Bacteria
Description: partial 16S ribosomal RNA
Rfam family: Bacterial small subunit ribosomal RNA
Source: RNAcentral